Molecule: transfer RNA, 34 nt
Filed under: Torix tukubana
Lineage: Eukaryota; Metazoa; Annelida; Clitellata; Rhynchobdellida; Glossiphoniidae
Description: partial tRNA-Leu
Source: RNAcentral
UUUAAACCUUAAAUAUGAAUAAUUUCUCAUAUUA